GCCCUUCGUCAGUGUGUAUGUCUCUCGCUGGAAUAUUUGAGGGGUGCCUUGUGUUUCAUGAGGUCUGAAAUCAACAACAUUAUAAUGUGCUUAUAGUUGUUCCUCCACACAGGAAAUUAUAUACUGGUGUUUUUAUGUAUUUAAAAACAUCUCUGAUCUAAAACUGCAGGCCUUGCUCAUUAUGAACAUUUAUUUGAUUUGAUUUUUUUUGCUGUAAACAUAAUAAUAGGGUUGUGCAUGUGCAUUGCACAUGUACAGGUAGAUGUGAGGUUCUGCCUGAUUCUCUUUUAUACUGAAUAAAUUGGAGCGGCUGUGCUGAAAACUCACACAGCAGUGUAAACACACAAAGACACACUGAUGUAAUCAGCACUGACAGCGGAGGCUCACAGAUCAGAGACUGAAGCGAGAGAAUGAGUGAUGAUAGUGGGAAUGGAGUUUAUAGCUUUAUAUUAAAAUAGCACAGAGACAUGGUGGAACAGACACAGAGACCACAGAAUAAGACUGAUAGAGUGAGUCUGUGGUAGGCAGGCUGAAGCAGAGUGAGGCACGUAAGCUGUGUAGUGUUGUGAGCAUUGCGUUGUGUUGCGGAGUGUGGUGAUAUGUUGUGCCGUUGUAUAAUGUGUUUCGCUCUGUUGCUCUGUGAUGUUCUGCAUUGCCCUGAGCUGUGAUGUGCUGCUAUGUGAUGAGUUGUACUGUGUUGCCCUGUAGUGUUGUGUAUUGCACUCUGAUGUUAUGUAAUGUGAUUUGUGUAUUAUUAUUUGUCUGUGGUGUACGGUGGUGUACUAUGUUCUAUGUUAUGCUGUGAUGUGUUGCGCUGUUACGUGCUGUUAUGUAAUGUGAUGUGAUUUGUGUUGUUAUUAUUAUAUUUGUCUGCGGUGUAUGGUGGUGUGUUGUAUUGUUAUGCUUUACUGUACUUUGCUGGGAUGUGAUGUAUUGUGUUGUUAUUAUUAUAUUUGUCUGCGGUGUAUGGUGGUGUGUUGUAUUGUUAUGCUUUACUGUACUUUGCUGGGAUGUGAUGUAUUGUGCCAUGCCCUAUCAUGAUGUAAUAUAUUACAGUGUUGUUAUGUGAUGUGAUGGGAUGUGAUGUGCUUUUAUGUGAUGUGAUGUGAUGUGAUGUGAUGUGAUGUGAUGUGAUGAUGUGAUGUGAUGUGAUGUGAUGUGAUGUGAUGUGAUGAUGUGAUGUGAUGUGAUGUGAUUAUGAUGUGCUGUGCUGUAAUGUAAUGUGAUGCGAUGUGAUUUGUGUUGUUAUUAUUAUAUUUGUCUGUGGUGUAUGGUGGUGUGUUGUAUUGUUAUGCUUUACUGUACUUUGCUGGGAUGCGAUGUACUGUGCCAUGCCCUAUCAUGAUGUGAUAUAUUACACUGUGUUGUUAUGUGAUGUGAUGUGCUGUUUUAAUAUAUUUGUCUGUUGUGUAUACUAUACUGUACUAUGCUGGGAUGUGUUGUGCUAUAACAUGUAACACAUUUAGGUGAUUAUAGGUGAUUAUAACAUCAGUUGAAGGUUACAAAAAUGUUUCUAAAACCAUUGUUCUAACUUUUUUUCCCAC
Molecule: long non-coding RNA, 1544 nt
Organism: Cyprinus carpio carpio
Lineage: Eukaryota; Metazoa; Chordata; Actinopteri; Cypriniformes; Cyprinidae
Source: Ensembl